RNAcentral lists this transfer RNA (714 nucleotides) under uncultured Flavobacteriaceae bacterium. RNAcentral's name for it is "partial 16S-23S ribosomal RNA intergenic spacer". The stretch from base 181 to 254 matches the Rfam family "tRNA". Lineage: Bacteria; Pseudomonadati; Bacteroidota; Flavobacteriia; Flavobacteriales; Flavobacteriaceae. The record is from RNAcentral.
AGAGUAUUCUCUUUCCAAAGAGAAUCGCAAUUAAAUAAAGGGAAGUUCAAAAGCAAGCCUUUAAGGUCUUGAUUCUUAAUGUCAAUUCGAUAAAUUACAGUAUUAAAGUAAAAAGUUGGAAGGUAGAAAGUAGUAUUACUUAAUAACUUUUAACUGGUAAACUUUAAAACUGUUAUGGACAGUCUCAUAGCUCAGCUGGUUAGAGCGCUACACUGAUAAUGUAGAGGUCGGCAGUUCGAGUCUGCCUGAGACUACGACCGCGCAAAGCGCGAGUUUAAAGUUGGAGGUUUAAAAGUUUAAAGUUAAACUUGAGACACAGAAGUUCAUUUGAAAUAACAAAAGGGAAAUUUUAGAGGUUGAGUAGCCGUUAUAAGUACUGUUAACUGAUAACUGUUAACUGAUCACUGAAAAUGGGGGAUUAGCUCAGCUGGCUAGAGCGCCUGCCUUGCACGCAGGAGGUCAUCGGUUCGACUCCGAUAUUCUCCACCAGGCAAUGCCUGGAGAUUUGAAAGAUAAUCUUCAGGGUUUGCAGUGGGAAGCAUAGAUUGUUUAUACGUCUAUCGCGACUCGCGAUCGUUCAUUGACAUAUUGAGAAAUAAAGAAUACGAGAAACUAACGCUUAUUAUGUGAUAGGGUUUGUAAAAAUUCUAUUGUAAUAAUAGCAAAACAAAAAAAGUUAACGACCAUCGUUAAGGUGGUUGUGCGAGCAUAUUA